Lolium perenne is the source of this 1297-nucleotide non-coding RNA. The record is from RefSeq and is a predicted model, not a curated record. NCBI's taxonomy places the organism in Eukaryota, Viridiplantae, Streptophyta, Magnoliopsida, Poales, Poaceae.
ACAAGGAAAAGAUAGAAGGAGAAUAUGAGGGGAGUUCUUUUUGAAGAAGAAGAAGAGACCAAGGUCAUUUUCUGAGGUAAGAAAUUUGCACCAUUGGUUGCAGGUCGGUGUUUCUGAGGUAUGCAGUGGACACAGUUUCAGUGUCAUUGUUUGCAUCUGUGAAGAAACGGAAGUGCGACAAAUCGAAUUCAUUUUCGGACAAUAAUUCUAAAUUGCUCAUGCUAUGUUAAGAAUGAAUACCGGACUAACGGGAUAGAAGUUUAUCUCAAAUUUUCAUCCACUAUGUCUGUUCCAUUUUUUUGGUGUUGUAUGUCUGGUUAUGUAUUAAGGAUUUAGAUGUACUAUUCUUAAAAGGUUAGGUCUCCGUUUCAGUUUUCUAUUUAGAUUUAGAUAUUCUAUUAUGUGAAUGUUUUUCUAGGUGCUCAACUACUCAUCUUAACAACCAUACUAUGAUCUCUUCUCCCUGACUCUGCGGCAAUGAGUGAAGGAGAGACGGUGCAGGGUCACGUAAAGCAGCACUGGUGACUGAAAAACGCUGAGCUCUGAGAUAAUAUUUGUUAUCUUAUUAUUGCAGUUAAAGCUAUUAUUGCGGUUCACUGUGUGUUCUAGCAAUCUAGCUAGAUUUCACUGUUAAAGCUAUUACUGCUUUUAACUUCUGUUCGAGUUAUGCUUGCACUGAUUUCUCCCGGUUUGAGUUCUACAGGGCACGACAAAUCAGGUUGGCCCUACACACAUUGACACCAUUCUCCCCGUUCACCUGGCUUGAGUUCUACAAGGCAUGGAAAACCAGGUUGGCCAUGUACUCAUUAGCACCAUUCUCCCCGAGGGCCUUGCCCAAGCCAAGAAAUGGAAUUUUUCGUGUGUCCAGUGUUCAGACCAUGAGGUUGUUCGAAGGCUGAUCAGCAAGGCUUCAGUACCUACGUGUACUCACUCCAGAUCAUAUGAAGCGACAUCUUUUCGAUAUAUUCUAAUUACUAUUACUACACAGGGCAUGGCAUUAGUGUGUAUAGUCAAUACAAGUUAAUUUUAUGAAGCUUUUGGCAUCAGAAACUUUUUUAACCCGGCUACAUGUUAAGAAAGCUUCUAAUGGCUAUGCUAUACUCUAAUUUGUAAAAAAGCUGUCCAUUUUUCAGUUCCCAUCUUGCUUAGUUGAGAUUCAUUAUCCAGUGAUGCAUACCUCUGUUUCCGCUACAUUGGUACAAUAGUUUGGUAUGAUGACUGUAUGAACUGUAUGAGAUUGAAAUUCUAAGUCGGAAGGGUCACCGACAUAUUUAUAACAUGCUAUGUUUUGUGCAAU